This 500-nucleotide ribosomal RNA is filed under the name uncultured bacterium. RNAcentral describes it as "bacterial SSU rRNA". It matches the Rfam family "Bacterial small subunit ribosomal RNA", at positions 30 to 504 of the family's 1533-position model. The record is from RNAcentral.
CGAACGCUUGCGGCGUGCUUAACACAUGCAAGUCGAACGAGAAAGGGGACUUCGGUUCCUGAGUAAAGUGGCGCACGGGUGAGUAACGCGUAGGUAAUCUACCCUAGUGUACGGAACAACAUCGGGAAACUGGUGCUAAUACCGAAUAAGCUUUAAGUAUCGCGAGGUAUUUAAAGGAAAGGUGGCCUCUUCAUGAAAGCUACUGCACAAGGAUGAGCCUGCGUACCAUUAGCUAGUAGGUGGGGUAAUGGCCCACCUAGGCGACGAUGGUUAGCGGGUCUGAGAGGAUGAUCCGCCACACUGGCACUGGAACACGGGCCAGACUCCUACGGGAGGCAGCAGUGAGGAAUUUUGCACAAUGGGGGAAACCCUGAUGCAGCGACGCCGCGUGAGUGAUGAAGGCCUUAGGGUCGUAAAACUCUGUCAAUAGGGAAGAAAUGUGCGAUGGCCAAUACCCAUUGCAUUUGACGGUACCUAUAAAGGAAGCACCGGCUAAAUCC